This 1488-nucleotide ribosomal RNA is filed under the name Triticum aestivum (bread wheat). Its description in RNAcentral is "partial small subunit ribosomal RNA". Lineage: Eukaryota; Viridiplantae; Streptophyta; Magnoliopsida; Poales; Poaceae. The record is from RNAcentral.
AUGGACGCGGACAUGGUCGUAGGAUACUUCGGCGGCAAGAGCAUCCUCAUCACCGGCUCAACUGGGUUCUUAGGAAAAGUUCUCGUGGAGAAGAUACUCAGGGUGCAGCCUGAUGUCAAGAAGCUCUUCCUCUUGGUUCGCGCCCCCGACGUCGAAUCCGCAAAGCUUCGGAUUCAGACUGAGGUCACAGGGAGGGAGAUCUUUCUAGUUCUGAAAGAAAAACAUGGUAUGGGGUUCGACGAUUUCAUCGAAGAAAAGAUAUGCCCUUUGGCAGGAGACAUCAUGUAUGAGAACUUUGGACUAGACACUGCCAACCUGAGAGAAUUGUCCAAGGACAUAGACAUCAUCGUCAACAUAGCUGCGAUUACAAACUUCUCUGAAAGAUACGACGUGGCUUUCGAUGCUAACGUGUUGGGAGCGAAGCACGUGUGCGCAUUCGCAAGGAAGUGUACGAAACUCAAGAUGCUGCUUCAUGUUUCAACUGCCUAUGUAGCUGGUGAACAAGAGGGGCUAAUACUAGAGAAGCCAUUCUUGAUGGGUGAGACACUAAGGGAGGGCACACAUUUGGACAUCGAAUCCGAGUUAACUCUGAUCAGAGAGACCAGGCGAGAGUUGAAGGACAACUGUUCUUCGGAGAAGGCUGAGAGGAGAACCAUGAAGGAGCUUGGCCUCAAGAGGGCUCGGCAGUUUGGGUGGCCAAACACCUAUGUCUUCACCAAGGCAAUGGGGGAGAUGCUGCUGGGGCAUCUGCCAGGGGAGCUUCCCGUGGUCAUCCUCCGGCCGAGCAUCAUAACCAGCAUCCUCAAGGAGCCAUUACCUGGAUGGAUGGAAGGAAUCAGGACAGACGAUCACGCGGUGGUCAUCGGCUACGCCAAGCAGACCUUGCCAUUCUUCCUAGUCGACCUCAGCUUGAUAAUGGACGUGAUUCCUGGGGACAUGGUGGUGAACGCUAUGAUGGUGGCCAUGGCGGCCCACUCGGAGGAGCGGGCGCAGACCAUCUACCACGUGACGUCGUCGCUGCGCAACCCGGCGCCCUACGCGAUCCUGGCGGAUACGGGGCACCGCUACUUCUACGACAAUCCGCCGCGCACGGGGAGGAACGGCGAGCCCGCCCGGCUCAACAAGAUGCGCUUCUUCAGCACGGUGGCGCGGCUGAGCCUGUACAUGGCCGUCAGGUACAGGCUCCCGCUCGAGAUGCUUCGGCUGGUGAACAUUGCGCUCUGCGGCUUCUUCUCGCAGCGCUACGACGACCUCAGCAGGAAGUACAGGUUCAUCGUGCAGCUCAUCGAGCUCUACGCGCCCUACAGCUUGUUCAAAGGCUGCUUUGAUGACAUGAACACGGAGAGGCUAAGGAUGGCGAUGAAGAAGGAGCAACAUAGCAACAUUGCAGAAGAAUUCUACUUUGAUUUCGAUCCCAAGUCCAUCGACUGGGACAGCUAUUUCUAUGGUGUUCACAUCCCCGGUGUGCUCAAGUACAUGCGUGAUUGA